This 497-nucleotide ribosomal RNA is filed under the name uncultured bacterium. Its description in RNAcentral is "partial 16S ribosomal RNA". It matches the Rfam family "Bacterial small subunit ribosomal RNA", at positions 28 to 507 of the family's 1533-position model. The record is from RNAcentral.
GAUGAACGCUGGCGGCGUGCCUAAUACAUGCAAGUCGAGCGAACAGACGAGGAGCUUGCUCCUCUGACGUUAGCGGCGGACGGGUGAGUAACACGUGGAUAACCUACCUAUAAGACUGGGAUAACUUCGGGAAACCGGAGCUAAUACCGGAUAAUAUAUUGAACCGCAUGGUUCAAUAGUGAAAUACGGUUUUGCUGUCACUUAUAGAUGGAUCCGCGCCGCAUUAGCUAGUUGGUAAGGUAACGGCUUACCAAGGCAACGAUGCGUAGCCGACCUGAGAGGUGUAUCGGCCAGACUGGAACUGAGCCACGGUCCAGACUCCUACGGGAGGCAGCAGUAGGGAAUCUUCAGCAAUGGGCGAAAGCCUGACGGAGCAACGCCGCGUGAGUGAUGAAGGUCUUCGGAUCGUAAAACUCUGUUAUUAGGGAAGAACAAAUGUGUAAGUAACUAUGCACGUCUUGACGGUACCUAAUCAGAAAGCCACGGCUAACUACGUG